AUGCAGAUGGAUGCUAAGCUGCCAAUUGAUACCUUUGAAAAUGUUAUGCAACUUGCUGUUGAAGGCUGCAAGGCAAUAGCAAAUUACAUUCGUGAAGUUUUGCUAGAGAAUACCAAACAGCUGGAGUAUAGACGUGGCUUGUAGUUCAUAAAAAGGGUAUCAGGGCUCAUAUCCAAGCCCCAGCCUUUGCCUGGUUAUUGUUGGACUUUCAGUUGUCAAGUCAUCACUUGAAAUUUGUUGCAUGUACCGGAGUUGCCAUCUCUUAAGUGAAUUCAACUCUGUUAAUUUGCUGAAGUCGUAGCUUACCGGGAGAGAUAGUGGCCAGUAUAUUUGUAUUUAUAUUUUCAUUUGUUGCUGGAAGUGCUUGGUUUGACCGGAAACGUUGAACUCAUGAUGCCUUGUACCAUCAUUUUUGAAUUGUUGAUACAAUGCAGUAAAUUUUGCGAGGAGUAUGACAUGAGGUGGUGCGGUUGUCAGUAACCUA
This is a long non-coding RNA of Populus euphratica (Euphrates poplar), 484 nucleotides long. RefSeq lists it as uncharacterized. The transcript is spliced from 3 exons. NCBI's taxonomy places the organism in Eukaryota, Viridiplantae, Streptophyta, Magnoliopsida, Malpighiales, Salicaceae. The record is from RefSeq and is a predicted model, not a curated record.